GUCCAGCUGACGAGUCCCAAACGGGACGAAACACGCGUCAAGAUGGAU
Molecule: non-coding RNA, 48 nt
Organism: Schistosoma mattheei
Lineage: Eukaryota; Metazoa; Platyhelminthes; Trematoda; Strigeidida; Schistosomatidae
Source: Rfam